RNAcentral lists this ribosomal RNA (303 nucleotides) under soil fungal sp. DM2-058. RNAcentral describes it as "partial 28S rRNA". It matches the Rfam family "Eukaryotic large subunit ribosomal RNA", at positions 196 to 502 of the family's 3401-position model. The record is from RNAcentral. Lineage: Eukaryota; Fungi.
CGGGACGCCAGAGAGGGUGAGAGCCCCGUAUAGUCGGCCACCGAUCCUCUGUAAAGCUCCUUCGACGAGUCGAGUAGUUUGGGAAUGCUGCUCAAAAUGGGAGGUAUAUCUCUUCUAAAGCUAAAUAUUGGCCAGAGACCGAUAGCGCACAAGUAGAGUGAUCGAAAGAUGAAAAGCACUUUGAAAAGAGGGUUAAAUAGCUCUUGAAAUUGUUGAAAGGGAAGCGCUUGUGACCAGACUUGUGCCGGGCUGAUCAUCCGGGGGGUCUCACUGGGGGUUUUUUACCCCCGCUCAGGCCCCCGU